AGAGUACACGUGGGAACGUGCCCUUCAGUUCGGAACAACCCAGAGAAACUUGGGCUAAUACCGGAUACGUCCGAAAGGAGAAAGAUUUAUCGCUGAAGGAUCGGCCCGAGUCUGAUUAGCUAGUUGGUGGGGUAAUGGCCCACCAAGGCGACGAUCAGUAGCUGGUCUGAGAGGAUGAUCAGCCUCACUGGGACUGAGACACGGACCAGACUCCUACGGGAGGCAGCAGUGGGGAAUAUUGGACAAUGGGCGCAAGCCUGAUCCAGCCAUGCCGCGUGGGUGAUGAAGGCCUUAGGGUUGUAAAGCCCUUUCGGCGGGGAAGAUA
RNAcentral lists this ribosomal RNA (325 nucleotides) under uncultured Bradyrhizobiaceae bacterium. Its description in RNAcentral is "bacterial SSU rRNA". It matches the Rfam family "Bacterial small subunit ribosomal RNA", at positions 107 to 450 of the family's 1533-position model. The record is from RNAcentral. Lineage: Bacteria; Pseudomonadati; Pseudomonadota; Alphaproteobacteria; Hyphomicrobiales; Nitrobacteraceae.